GCGGCGGACGGGUGAGUAACACGUGGGUAACCUGCCCGUAAGACCGGGAUAACUCCGGGAAACCGGGGCUAAUACCGGAUAACACCGAAGACCGCAUGGUCUUCGGUUGAAAGGCGGCUUCGGCUGCCACUUACGGAUGGGCCCGCGGCGCAUUAGCUAGUUGGUGAGGUAACGGCUCACCAAGGCGACGAUGCGUAGCCGGCCUGAGAGGGUGACCGGCCACACUGGGACUGAGACACGGCCCAGACUCCUACGGGAGGCAGCAGUAGGGAAUCUUCCGCAAUGGACGAAAGUCUGACGGAGCGACGCCGCGUGAGCGAAGAAGGUCUUCGGAUCGUAAAGCUCUGUUGUUAGGGAAGAAGAAGUGCCGUUCGAACAGGGCGGCACGGUGACGGUACCUAACGAGAAAGCCCCGGCUAACUACGUGCCAGCAGCCGCGGUAAUAC
Molecule: ribosomal RNA, 446 nt
Filed under: Geobacillus sp. G08C001
Lineage: Bacteria; Bacillati; Bacillota; Bacilli; Caryophanales; Anoxybacillaceae
Also listed under: 42 other names
Description: bacterial SSU rRNA
Rfam family: Bacterial small subunit ribosomal RNA
Source: RNAcentral